CUCUAUCUCUCAUUCCUGCAGCCGCCAACCCAAUCUCCUCCUCCUUCUCUCUAGUUCCGGCCGCCAAGCCUCCUCCUCCCUCGUUCCCUCCUCCCAAUCUCCUCCUCCUUCUCUCUGCUUCUGGCCGCCAAGCCUCGCCGCCGGCCCGAGCCCGACCUGCAGCCGCACGCCUCGCCACCGCCGCCGGCCCGAGCCUGACCUACCGCCGCCAAGCCCCGCUGCCGCCUGCCCGCGCCCGACCUGCCGCCAUCCCGCGAGCCCCGCGCCUGGAGGAGCCGCCCUGCGGCGCUUUGAGGCUGCCCGCGCCCAGAUCCGGCCUGCGCCGACCCACCCGCCGCGGAUCCGUCCUCCCUCUCUCCCGCCGGACGACGACAACAUUGAAGGCGACCGGUGGCGGCGACAUCUCCAGGACAGCGGCAUGAGCGGCGGCUGUGGAUUUGAUGGCGAAGGUUGUGCGGGUGGCGCGUUCAUGGAGUCGACGGCGACGUCAGGGAGUUGAUAACGCCGGUGCGGUGAGGUCGACGGGCUGCUGUGUGGACCUUUUUUGUUUCUUCAAAUUCACAUCACUGUCGGGCGUUGUGGUGUGACCGCCACUGAUGGAGAAAGCAUCAGCCCAAUCGUGCACAACAGGAAGUUAGCAAGGCCGCCAGUAGUGUUGGUUUUCUCCCGUUACUAAUGAAGGAUUCUGUAGUAGUGGGAUCCCUCUCCCCCCUUUGAUCCGUUGUAACACUGUUGUGGUUUGGACUCUUGGGAUGGCAGAACUUCGUCUGCAUUCCUGUUGCGGCUGUUCUGUAACAAGUUUUACUAGUACUGCUCAUCGCAAAAUCUGUUGAGGAACUUUUCCAUGGUCCCACGUGGAAAUGGCGUUCA
Long non-coding RNA from Brachypodium distachyon (stiff brome), 870 nucleotides. RefSeq lists it as uncharacterized. The transcript has 2 exons. Lineage: Eukaryota; Viridiplantae; Streptophyta; Magnoliopsida; Poales; Poaceae. The record is from RefSeq and is a predicted model, not a curated record.